GAAGCGAGACGGAGACGUUAAGCGAACCCAAAAAAAGUAAGUCUCAGUUCGGAUUGAAGGCUGAAAUUCGCCUUCAUGAAGCCGGAAUUGCUAGUAAUGGCAGGUCAGCAUACUGCCGUGAAUACGUUCCCGGGCCUUGUACACACCGCCCGUCACACCAUGAGAGUUGGGAAUACCCGAAGCCUGUGAGCUAACGUAAGAGGCAGCAGUCGAAGGUAGAAUCAAUGAUUGGGGUGAAGUCGUAACAAGGUAGC
Molecule: ribosomal RNA, 254 nt
Filed under: uncultured bacterium
Lineage: Bacteria
Description: partial 16S ribosomal RNA
Rfam family: Bacterial small subunit ribosomal RNA
Source: RNAcentral